Molecule: ribosomal RNA, 458 nt
Filed under: uncultured bacterium
Lineage: Bacteria
Description: partial 16S ribosomal RNA
Rfam family: Bacterial small subunit ribosomal RNA
Source: RNAcentral
CCUACGGGUGGCAGCAGUGAGGAAUAUUGGUCAAUGGACGAGAGGCUGAACCAGCCAAGUAGCGUGAAGGAUGACUGCCCUAUGGGUUGUAAACUUCUUUUAUGAGGAUGAAACAGGGUAUUCAUACCCUCUUGUAUGUACCAUAUGAAUAAGGGUCGGCUGACUCCGUGCCAGCAGCCGCGGUAAUACGGAGGGUCCGAGCGUUAUCCGGAUUUAUUGGGUUUAAAGGGAGAGUAGGUGGAUUGUUAAGUGAGUUGUGAAAGUUUGCGGCGCAACCGUAAAAUUGCAGUUGAAACUGGCAGUCUUGAGUACAGUAGAGGUGGGCGGAAUGCGUGGUGUAGCGGUGAAAUGCUUAGAUAUCACGAAGAACUCCGAUCGCGAAGGCAGCUUACUGGACUGCAACUGACACUGAUGCUCGAAAGUGUGGGUAUCAAACAGGAUUAGAUACCCUGGUAGUC